Molecule: ribosomal RNA, 450 nt
Filed under: uncultured bacterium
Lineage: Bacteria
Description: bacterial SSU rRNA
Rfam family: Bacterial small subunit ribosomal RNA
Source: RNAcentral
GUGGGGAAUUUUGGACAAUGGGCGAAAGCCUGAUCCAGCCAUGCCGCGUGCAGGAUGAAGGCCUUCGGGUUGUAAACUGCUUUUGUACGGAACGAAAAGACUCCUUCUAAUAAAGGGGGUCCAUGACGGUACCGUAAGAAUAAGCACCGGCUAACUACGUGCCAGCAGCCGCGGUAAUACGUAGGGUGCAAGCGUUAAUCGGAAUUACUGGGCGUAAAGCGUGCACAGGCGGUUAUAUAAGACAGAUGUGAAAUCCACGGGCUCAACCUGGGAACUGCAUUUGUGACUGUAUAGCUAGAGUACGGUAGAGGGGGAUGGAAUUCCGCGUGUAGCAGUGAAAUGCGUAGAUAUGCGGAGGAACACCGAUGGCGAAGGCAAUCCCCUGGACCUGUACUGACGCUCAUGCACGAAAGCGUGGGGAGCAAACAGGAUUAGAUACCCUUGUAGUCC